RNAcentral lists this ribosomal RNA (896 nucleotides) under uncultured bacterium. RNAcentral describes it as "bacterial SSU rRNA". It matches the Rfam family "Bacterial small subunit ribosomal RNA", at positions 8 to 887 of the family's 1533-position model. The record is from RNAcentral.
AGAGUUUGAUCAUGGCUCAGGACGAACGCUGGCGGCGUGCCUAAUACAUGCAAGUCGAGCGGAUCUCUAGGAGCUUGCUCCUGUUGAUUAGCGGCGGACGGGUGAGUAACACGUGGGCAACCUGCCUGUAAGUCUGGGAUAACACCGGGAAACCGGUGCUAAUACCGGAUAAUCCUUUUCCUCUCAUGAGGAAAAGCUGAAAGUCGGUUUCGGCUGACACUUACAGAUGGGCCCGCGGCGCAUUAGCUAGUUGGUGAGGUAACGGCUCACCAAGGCGACGAUGCGUAGCCGACCUGAGAGGGUGAUCGGCCACACUGGGACUGAGACACGGCCCAGACUCCUACGGGAGGCAGCAGUAGGGAAUCUUCCACAAUGGACGAAAGUCUGAUGGAGCAACGCCGCGUGAGCGAUGAAGGCCUUCGGGUCGUAAAGCUCUGUUGUUAGGGAAGAACAAGUACCGGAGUAACUGCCGGUACCUUGACGGUACCUAACCAGAAAGCCACGGCUAACUACGUGCCAGCAGCCGCGGUAAUACGUAGGUGGCAAGCGUUGUCCGGAAUUAUUGGGCGUAAAGCGCGCGCAGGCGGUCCUUUAAGUCUGAUGUGAAAGCCCACGGCUCAACCGUGGAGGGUCAUUGGAAACUGGGGGACUUGAGUGCAGAAGAGGAAAGCGGAAUUCCACGUGUAGCGGUGAAGUGCGUAGAGAUGUGGAGGAACACCAGUGGCGAAGGCGGCUUUCUGGUCUGUAACUGACGCUGAGGCGCGAAAGCGUGGGGAGCAAACAGGAUUAGAUACCCUGGUAGUCCACGCCGUAAACGAUGAGUGCUAAGUGUUAGGGGUUUCCGCCCCUUAGUGCUGCAGCUAACGCAUUAAGCACUCCGCCUGGGGAGUACGGCC